AGGUCGAUUCAAAUGAUAAAGUGGGGAGACCCACGAAACGACGUACGUUGAGGGUGCACGGGGUCCCUGUAUGGCCACUGGAAGUAUGCCUGCUAUAGUUGAAGACACAGAUCCACCCCCCUGUAUCCUAUUAAGCCAUGCUUCUACUAUCUACUCCGAAGAUCUCACCAGCCCCCAUUUGAUCACCUUGCCAAGAGAUGCUGGAGACCGUCCGUCCUGUGAGGGGUCCACCAGCUGCCAUCUUAACUUCUUGGCACUUCAUGAUUGUGUCGCAGUGAGAUUGAUUGGCGGUCUCGUCUUCCAACCCCCUUGAAGGUUUCUAAUGAACAUGGCAUUAAGGAGGCUAUAAAUCUUGGAUCAAAGUUAUUAAAUAAAUUAUCCAAUACUGCAAAUAAUGCAGCCAGCACCUGAAGUCUAUGCUCCUGAACUUGCUGCAUACAAUCUCCCAACAUCUUGAUU
Hyla sarda is the source of this 459-nucleotide long non-coding RNA. RefSeq lists it as uncharacterized. NCBI's taxonomy places the organism in Eukaryota, Metazoa, Chordata, Amphibia, Anura, Hylidae. The transcript has 3 exons. The record is from RefSeq and is a predicted model, not a curated record.